GUAUAUGGUUUAUAUAGGCUUUAUAAGGCCUUAAAUGACAUUCUUGAACAUACAUGGUGUAGAUGUAAAAACAUAGGUCUGGAAAAUGUAAAGGAAAGCCGGCUUCGAUAGCACAGCAAGCCUUCAAAACAUAGCUAAAACUUGCGACAAGCUUUGACUAUAAAGAUAUUCCAGAACUACAAAGGGUGCACAGGUGGAAAGAUAAAAAUGAUAAACGUGCACAAUACUCCCAAGAGAGCCAGCAACAAUCUAUCAAGUUUAUUCUGUAAUGAUCCUUCCGCAGGUUCACCUACGGAAA
This 298-nucleotide unclassified non-coding RNA is filed under the name uncultured fungus. RNAcentral's name for it is "sequence contains ITS1". The record is from RNAcentral. Lineage: Eukaryota; Fungi.